Long non-coding RNA from Ictalurus punctatus (channel catfish), 1266 nucleotides. The record is from Ensembl. NCBI's taxonomy places the organism in Eukaryota, Metazoa, Chordata, Actinopteri, Siluriformes, Ictaluridae.
UUUUUUUUUUAACACGAUUCUAUUUUAACGCGAGUUUCCCCAAGAUUCAUGUUUCACAUUGGGCUUUCAUUUUCCGAUUUGAUGAUUCAUUUAAUUUCACACUCCCACCCCCAUUGGUUCAUGUGAUUUCAGGUGCUUUUAUUUUUCCGUGUGAUUUUCUCGUAUCAUUUUCACGAUUAUGUAUUGUUCGCAUGAUGUCGUGCAUUUAUUCGGGUUGUGUUGUGCAGUUUUGGUGCAUAACGUCGCGAACCACACCGUGCGAUUGUGUGUCACUCACGUAAUCGCGUGUAAAAAUAAAACAACGAUCACACGUGAUUCGGUAAGGGACGUGAACACACGUUUUGGCGGUAUUUUACAUUUGAUGCCGGUUUUGUUCUGUUCAGUUUGGUGAUGCUACUCCACUCCUCUGCGCACCUCUUCAGUUCAGUCAGCAUGUUUAUCACCACGUCGUGCUGGACCACAGAUGGUCAGAUGCUCAAAUGGUCUCGUCCGGCUCGUCAAUAAGCCCAUAAACUGGAAUGGGUGUCGCUUAUCGUGGUGCGGUCAUCAGGAUGCGAGUGUGUGCCAGUAACGGGUUCUGUGUGAUAUAUCCAAUUGAUAUUCGAAUUCUUGAAUCUCAACAGCAGCACUGCGAGUACUGCGCUCAUUCCACGCUCUUGUAGCUGAUCAUCCCUAGAGGGUUUGACCGCCCUGGUUUAUGCCCCGCCCACCUCUCCUGCCCCUCCCCCACAACCCAACCGCCCUCCUAGAUUCUCCUACUGGUUUAUCUGGACCACGCCCUCUUUCUCCACCCCAAACUUCACCCAAACCAAGGAGCUCGGGGGCGUUCCGGACAAAGACCGAUUAAACAGAAAAGACUACGUGUUUUUAUUCAGUUAAUUUUUUCUUAAAUGGAUGAUUGAAGAAAACGAGAGGACGCAAACUAUUCGUGAGCGUCCGUAUUUAGCGGAGAAGAAACGGUACUGCGGACUGAAAGAGGACGCUUUUGGUCAGAGGAAGGAUCGCAGAAGGGUGGGCGUUUGUUGAUAAAGAAAUACUUCCUGUUUACAUUAAGCAUCGUCUUUCUAAGAGUACACGGCUCUACAUUUCACAGGAAACUGUAAGGGUUACACACACACACACACACACACACACACACAGUAUCACAUAAACCACUCCCACACGUCCCGGCCUCAGGAUGAUGUGCGAGGUGAUGCCCACUAUUUCGGAGGAUGGCCGUGGUGGAGGAGGAGGGGGCCGUCCUCGCCUGCUGGGGGUGGGAGUGGC